UACGUAGGGUGCAAGCGUUGUCCGGAAUUAUUGGGCGUAAAGAGCUUGUAGGCGGUUUGUCGCGUCUGCUGUGAAAUUUCGGGGCUCAACCCCGAACUUGCAGUGGGUACGGGCAGACUAGAGUGUGGUAGGGGAGACUGGAAUUCCUGGUAUAGCGGUGAAAUGCGCAGAUAUCAGGAGGAACACCGAUGGCGAAGGCAGGUCUCUGGGCCAUAACUGACGCUGAGAAGCGAAAGCAUGGGGAGCGAACAGG
Molecule: ribosomal RNA, 253 nt
Filed under: uncultured bacterium
Lineage: Bacteria
Description: partial 16S ribosomal RNA
Rfam family: Bacterial small subunit ribosomal RNA
Source: RNAcentral